UCCAAUAGCGUAUAUUAAAGUUGUUGCAGUUAAAAAGCUCGUAGUCGGAUUUCGGGUCGUGGCCGUCGGUCUGCCAUUGGGUACGCACUGGCGGCUGCUUCCUUUCUGCGCGCGUGUGCUUUCGGGGAUGCGCGCGCACGUUUACUUUGAGAAAAUCAGAGUGUUCAAAGCAGGCCAUUGCCAUUGUAUGUGUUAGCAUGGGAUAAUGGAAUAGGACCUUGGUGCUAUUUUGUUGGUUUCGAACGCCGAGGUAAUGAUUAAUAGGGACAGUCAGGGGCACUCGUAUUCCGUAGAGAGAGGUGAAAUUUUUUAGACCCACGGAAGACGAACUACUGCGAAAGCAUUUGCCAGGGAUGUUUUCACUGAUCAAGAACGAAAGUUAGGGGAUCGAAGAUGAUCAGAUACCGUCGUAGUCUUAACCAUAAACCAUGCCGACCAGGGAUUGGUGGGUGUCGUCUUUUGACCCCAUCAGCACCUUUCGAGAAAUCAGAGUCUUUGGGUUCCGGGGG
Molecule: ribosomal RNA, 509 nt
Filed under: Rebecca salina
Lineage: Eukaryota; Haptophyta; Pavlovophyceae; Pavlovales; Pavlovaceae
Description: SSU rRNA
Rfam family: Eukaryotic small subunit ribosomal RNA
Source: RNAcentral